Molecule: ribosomal RNA, 58 nt
Filed under: Clavispora lusitaniae
Lineage: Eukaryota; Fungi; Ascomycota; Pichiomycetes; Serinales; Metschnikowiaceae
Description: partial 28S ribosomal RNA
Source: RNAcentral
UUUCGCCUCAAUCAGGUAGGACUACCCGCUGAACUUAAGCAUAUCAAUAAGCGGAGGA